This 21-nucleotide unclassified non-coding RNA is filed under the name Mus musculus (house mouse). RNAcentral's name for it is "oocyte_clustered_small_RNA6621". Lineage: Eukaryota; Metazoa; Chordata; Mammalia; Rodentia; Muridae. The record is from RNAcentral.
UUUCAAAGCAAGGUGAUAUUU